Scleropages formosus (Asian bonytongue) is the source of this 408-nucleotide long non-coding RNA. RefSeq lists it as uncharacterized. The record is from RefSeq and is a predicted model, not a curated record. NCBI's taxonomy places the organism in Eukaryota, Metazoa, Chordata, Actinopteri, Osteoglossiformes, Osteoglossidae. The transcript is spliced from 3 exons.
UUAUUUCCGACGGCGGCGUUGGGCACACCGCGUGACAGGAAACGUCUUACUUUUGCCUUUUACUGCGGUAUCGGGACGGCUUGCAGCUGAUUCCCUUCCAGACACUUCUUCUCAAAAGCAGCGUCCAAUGAGCACAACGUAGUAACUGCAGGACUUUCACGCCUUUACAUUUGUUCUUUUUUUCUUUUCUUUUACGGAUCAGAGUGGAAUACCAGACCACCAGGUGUCUGGUUCCACACACUGUCCAACUCGACAGAGCCGACUGAGGUGAACAAGAAAGGAAGAUCGAUGUUAAAUGACCUCUGCCAAGUUUAACACGAUGCCAUUGUGUCCUCCAUGGAUGCAGAGGCAGCCGUACAUCCCGGCGCAGGAACAGCUGGGGGGCCUCCCUCUGCGGGUCCAGCACAG